Molecule: non-coding RNA, 48 nt
Filed under: Trichobilharzia regenti
Lineage: Eukaryota; Metazoa; Platyhelminthes; Trematoda; Strigeidida; Schistosomatidae
Source: RNAcentral
AUCCAGAUGACGAGUCUCAAAUAGGAUGAAAUGUACUUUUUCCUGGAU